RNAcentral lists this ribosomal RNA (468 nucleotides) under uncultured Enterobacteriaceae bacterium. Its description in RNAcentral is "bacterial SSU rRNA". It matches the Rfam family "Bacterial small subunit ribosomal RNA", at positions 30 to 510 of the family's 1533-position model. The record is from RNAcentral. Lineage: Bacteria; Pseudomonadati; Pseudomonadota; Gammaproteobacteria; Enterobacterales; Enterobacteriaceae.
AUUGAACGCUGGCGGCAGGCCUAACACAUGCAAGUCGAACGGUAACAUGAGAAAGCUUGCUUUCUUGAUGACGAGUGGCGGACGGGUGAGUAAUGUAUGGGGAUCUGCCUGAUGGAGGGGGAUAACUACUGGAAACGGUAGCUAAUACCGCGUAAUGUCGCAAGACCAAAGUGGGGGACCUUCGGGCCUCACGCCAUCAGAUGAACCCAUAUGGGAUUAGCUAGUAGGUGGGGUAAAGGCUCACCUAGGCGACGAUCUCUAACUGGUCUGAGAGGAUGACCAGUCACACUGGGACUGAGACACGGCCCAGACUCCUACGGGAGGCAGCAGUGGGGGAUAUUGCACAAUGGGGGAAACCCUGAUGCAGCGACGCCGCGUGAACGAUGACGGUCUUCGGAUUGUAAAAGUUCUGUCAACGGGGACGAUAAUGACGGUACCGUGGAGGAAGCCACGGCUAACUACGUGCCA